UUAGAGGAAGUAAAAGUCGUAACAAGGUUUCCGUAGGUGAACCUGCGGAAGGAUCAUUAUCGAAUCGUGACACGAGUUGUUGCUGGUCCCCAAUGGGGGCAUGUGCACGCUCUGUUUACACAUCCACUCACACCUGUGCACCUUUUGUAGUUCUGCGGUUUGGGGGAUCCUGUCUUCCUUCUGUGGUUCUGCGUCUUUACACACACGCUGUAGCAAAGUUUUAUGGAAUGUAUGUCGCGUUUAACGCAUAAAAUACAACUUUCAGCAACGGAUCUCUUGGCUCUCGCAUCGAUGAAGAACGCAGCGAAAUGCGAUAAGUAAUGUGAAUUGCAGAAUUCAGUGAAUCAUCGAAUCUUUGAACGCACCUUGCGCCCUUUGGCUAUUCCGAAGGGCAUGCCUGUUUGAGUAUCAUGAACACCUCAACUCUCAUGGUUCUCCAUGGUGAGCUUGGACUUUGGGGGUCUUGUUGGCCUGUGGUCAGCUCCUCUAAAACGCAUCAGCUUUCCGGUGUUUGGUGGCAUCACGGGUGUGAUAACUAUCUACGCUUGUGCUUGUUUGCCAGAUAACUUCCAGCGAUGGAGGUUCGCUGGGGCUUACAAACGUCUCUCCUUCGUGGGGACAGCUUUUUAACGUUCGAUCUCAAAUCAGGUAGGAUUACCCGCUGAACUUAAGCAUAUCAAUAAGCGGAGGAAAAGAAACUAACAAGGAUUCCCCUAGUAACUGCGAGUGAAGCGGGAAGAGCUCAAAUUUGAAAUCUGGCGUGCCUCUGGUCGUCCGAGUUGUAGUCUGGAGAAGCGUUUUCCGUGCUGGACCGUGUACAA
RNAcentral lists this ribosomal RNA (821 nucleotides) under uncultured Thelephoraceae. Its description in RNAcentral is "eukaryotic LSU rRNA". The stretch from base 257 to 411 matches the Rfam family "5.8S ribosomal RNA". The record is from RNAcentral. Lineage: Eukaryota; Fungi; Basidiomycota; Agaricomycetes; Thelephorales; Thelephoraceae.